This 331-nucleotide long non-coding RNA is filed under the name Salvia miltiorrhiza (redroot sage). RNAcentral's name for it is "long non-coding RNA (SMIL_LNC013209)". Lineage: Eukaryota; Viridiplantae; Streptophyta; Magnoliopsida; Lamiales; Lamiaceae. The record is from RNAcentral.
UUUUUUAAUAUUUGCAUUUCCACAAUUAUUCAAAAUAUACGGCUGCCUGCAUUAGUACGUGACCUAAUUUUGACAACACCCAAUUUUGGGUGGACACGUGGACUUCUCCAAAUACAAAGACUUCACAUUCUGACCAAAGUUGUUGAGCUUUACGUUAUCAAAAAAAAAUUCCUAGCUUAGUAAUUCUCAAAAAAAAAAAAAAAAACAACCUAGCUUACGUGGCGUGUAGACCCAAAAAUUGAAUUUCAAAAUAAUAAAAAAGUUGACAACUUGUGUUUGUGUAUAAAUAAGACCUCAUGCAAAAUGGUUUGUUGCAAACUGAUAAACAGCC